Aedes aegypti (yellow fever mosquito) is the source of this 73-nucleotide non-coding RNA. The record is from Rfam. NCBI's taxonomy places the organism in Eukaryota, Metazoa, Arthropoda, Insecta, Diptera, Culicidae.
CCUCUCAUGUCGUAGUGGUAACGCGCCCCAACUAGAGAUCGGGGAGUCGUGAGUUCGAUUCUCACUCAGAAGA